Molecule: ribosomal RNA, 435 nt
Filed under: uncultured bacterium
Lineage: Bacteria
Description: partial 16S ribosomal RNA
Rfam family: Bacterial small subunit ribosomal RNA
Source: RNAcentral
AGCGAACGCUGGCGGCAGGCUUAACACAUGCGAGUCGAGCGGGCACUUUCGGGUGUCCGCGGCGGACGGGUGCGUAACGCGUGGGAACGUGCCCUCUGGUUCGGAAUAACUCAGGGAAACUUGAGCUAAUACCGGAUACGCCCUUUUGGGGAAAGGCUUGCUGCCGGAGGAUCGGCCCGCGUCUGAUUAGCUAGUUGGUGAGGUAACGGCUCACCAAGGCGACGAUCAGUAGCUGGUCUGAGAGGAUGAUCAGCCACACUGGGACUGAAACACGGCCCAGACUCCUACGGGAGGCAGCAGUGGGGAAUAUUGGACAAUGGGCGCAAGCCUGAUCCAGCCAUGCCGCGUGAGUGAUGAAGGCCUUAGGGUUGUAAAGCUCUUUUAUCCGGGACGAUAAUGACGGUACCGGAGGAAUAAGCCCCGGCUAACUUCGUG